Alosa sapidissima (American shad) is the source of this 390-nucleotide long non-coding RNA. RefSeq lists it as uncharacterized. NCBI's taxonomy places the organism in Eukaryota, Metazoa, Chordata, Actinopteri, Clupeiformes, Clupeidae. The record is from RefSeq and is a predicted model, not a curated record. The transcript has 2 exons.
AUCCAUCUCUGGUCAUUUUCCAGUUCAGUGUUUCUCCAGUUGAUGAUUACUGUCCUGUCACAGAUAAUGCAACACAAUGUACACAGAAAUGAAGGCAUCGUUCAUAACAAGCCUCUCUAAUGUGGUUUAGUGUGAUCAAUCUGUUCAACUUUUGUCUUUUUAAACAGAAAGAAGGUGUGAAUAUUGCAAAGCAGGAUGGGUAUACUAUCAAUCAAGCUGUUACCUAUUCUACUAUCGUGAGAACUGGAAAACUUGGGGCCAAAGUAAAACUGAUUGCACUAACAGGGGGUCUCAUCUGGUGAUCAUAGACACAGCAGAGGAACAGGCCUUCAUUAAUAAUCACACAACAUAUUACCUUGACAAAUGGCAUGGAUACUGGAUUGGACUGAG